Long non-coding RNA from Portunus trituberculatus (swimming crab), 404 nucleotides. RefSeq lists it as uncharacterized. The transcript has 3 exons. The record is from RefSeq and is a predicted model, not a curated record. NCBI's taxonomy places the organism in Eukaryota, Metazoa, Arthropoda, Malacostraca, Decapoda, Portunidae.
GUGAAGUGAAACGCCAGCAGUAGGUGCGUGUGGUGUCUCCUCUUGAUUUUACGCCAUUCCAGCCUUAAUACAGCGUUCCAGUGUCCUCUCCGCUCCUCAGCGCAGGGCAGCCCACGCCAGGCAGAGACAAACCCUCAGGGCACCACUUCUUUCCAGGGACGGAGGCAAGUAAGGAUAUUAGGCGGCGCUACAUUUGUUCUCCUUAGGGCCCGAGGCUUCACUGGGUGUUGAUUCGAACCAGCGAGUGAAGUGAUUGUUGUCUUGUUCAUGAAUCAUCAUCGCCCUCCUUCACUGCAGGUGGGAGACGCUCGCACAAAAAAAAAAAAAAAAAAGAGUAAGUAAAAAAAUAGCCUCUUUGGUGACUUUUUAUAGAUUUAUUUUGUCAGUUGUUUGUUUAUUUUUUA